UGGUUGAAGGCAGCUGAUCUGUUUCGAAUCCUGUGUGUCCGGAGAGGCCAACGCUUUCAUUAGCCAGCAGGAAUGGGCUGGGGCGCGUUUGUAGUUGGGAAUCCUGAGCCCGGGCUGUUGCUUGGAGGACUCGGGAGCAGCAGUGGAUUUCGGCGUUACCAGGAGAGCUAUGUAUAGGAAUGCCGCUAUGGAAAGACAUCCAGGACACCUUGUUAAGUGAAAAAAGACAUGCCACCAUUAGGGCUUCAUUUCCCUGCAGUCUUCUUUAAAUACCAAAACUGCCCUGGGAAGGAUAAGACAUCAGUUUCUUCAUACUUCAGAGCAAAUGGGAUUGAUUCCCAGGACCUCCUUUCUGUGGACUGGGUUUUUGCCUCCUCACCAAGAGACUGGGCUCCCUGGGCGAGCAGAGGCUGCUGGGUUCAGUAUCUGAACACUUUUGCUAAAGGUCUCUGGAAAGCUCCCUGUGUUAAUUCUCGAUGAGACUACGUCUGUGCCGGCCGCUUCCUGAGCCUCCUUCCAUGUGCAUAGGCCUGCUGCAUGCUGGAGACCUGCGGCACAGCUGCCAAGUGCCCCGUGUGGUUCUGUGAUCUUGGGACAGUCACUUCCUCUCUGUGGUUGUCAGUCUUCUCAUCCCUAAGAUGGAAUAAAAAGGCCUACCUCAUUGGGCUCGUGUGGGUGAGGAGAACUGAAGAGUCUGAGAGCGCGGCACGAGCCAGAGGCUACGGAAAACACUGCCCUCCUACACUCCACCUUGGAGAGACCCAGAAAAGAACAAGCUUCAUUUGUAAAAAAGGAAAACAACUCAGGCAAUGGGGGUGGCUUAAAGGCACUCUACAGUGUGCAGAUGCCUUCCACUUCUUCCAUCUGCCCUGUCUCUCCAAGAACCCCUAUGGCCCCGGUCUCAGAACAGAGCUGAGUGCAGAAAUGAAAAUCUAUGGCUCUGUGUUCCAAAACGAUGAAGAAUUUCAAGAUGGUGGCAGUGGUAAAAUCUUUCUCCAGGAAAAAUCUGUCCUUGGCCCAAUGUGUAAACACUUGCUGAGUAUUGUGAAACCAGCAACUUGUUCACAAUUCUUCUGAAUUUCUUGGGAAAUUUGAAGUGGAGUACCUGUACCAACAUGAAAUGACACGAAUUUAAGUGACGCUCAACAACGAAAAGCAAAAAGAACCAAAGAGGAAGCAACUGAAACAACAUCUGGAUGUAUUUAAAAAUAUACAAUGCCUCCAAAAUCAGGUGUCAUUAAUGAAAAUUCUGAAGAAAUGCCACCGGACAUAGCCAACGCACCUACGCUGUUGUUAUUCAUUUCCUGCUUUUCACAGAAAACAAUUUUGUUGCAUGGAAGAUCGUGAACUUCAAAGGGCAGAGGGGAAACUGUCCCUUGGCCUCUACCCCUCCAAGGCCCCACUUUUUUGUCAACACUCCUUGGACGCAGCAGAAGUAUGAACAUAAUAUGGUCCUGAAUGAGGCUGAGUCUUUGGGCGCAGAAGACCCGGGUUAAUAAAAAUAGGAAGGUAAGAAAAGAAAAGAAAAAUCAAGACACAUCAUAGGACUAAAUUCCUAUUAUUUAUCCACUCAGGAUUGACCACCCCUUUGGGCCAGAUAGUUGUACCCCCAUGUACCAGGUGGGCACAUGAAGACACAAGAAGUGCUGUGAUGGUUCAUUUUGCACGUCACCUUGCGUGGAGUAUGCCAACUCAUUGUUUGGUCAAACACUAGUCUGGACAUGGUGGUAAAGGUAUUUUUUAGAUGAGAUUAACACUUAAAUCAGUAAAGCAGGUUACCCACCAUACUACGGGUGGGCCCUGUCCAAUCAGUUGAAGGCAUUAAGAACAAAGAUUGAGGUUUCCUAAAGAAGAUGGAAUUCUCCUUGAGACUACAACAUAGAAACCCUAUCUGAGUUUCCAGCCUGUUGCCCUGUGGAAUUCAAACUCAGGACUCCGGUCUAUGACAUUAACCCUCACUUAACUUUUCAGCCUGCCAGCCUGCCCUAUGGAUUUCGGACUUGCCAGCCACACAAUUCCUUAAAAUAAAUCUCUCCGUCUCUGUCU
Homo sapiens (human) is the source of this 2046-nucleotide long non-coding RNA. Ensembl annotates it as downregulated RNA in cancer, inhibitor of cell invasion and migration. Its record names the gene DRAIC. The record is from Ensembl. Lineage: Eukaryota; Metazoa; Chordata; Mammalia; Primates; Hominidae.